Molecule: ribosomal RNA, 681 nt
Filed under: uncultured bacterium
Lineage: Bacteria
Description: bacterial SSU rRNA
Rfam family: Bacterial small subunit ribosomal RNA
Source: RNAcentral
GGAACCAGCCUCAAAGAGGGGGACAACAGUUGGAAACGACUGCUAAUACCGCAUAAGCCCACGACCCGGCAUCGGGUUGAGGGAAAAGGAGCAAUCCGCUUUGAGAUGGCCUCGCGUCCGAUUAGCUAGUUGGUGAGGUAAUGGCCCACCAAGGCAACGAUCGGUAGCCGGACUGAGAGGUUGAACGGCCACAUUGGGACUGAGACACGGCCCAGACUCCUACGGGAGGCAGCAGUGGGGAAUAUUGCACAAUGGGGGAAACCCUGAUGCAGCGACGCCGCGUGGAGGAAGAAGGUCUUCGGAUUGUAAACUCCUGUUGUUGAGGAAGAUAAUGACGGUACUCAACAAGGAAGUGACGGCUAACUACGUGCCAGCAGCCGCGGUAAAACGUAGGUCACAAGCGUUAUCCGGAUUUACUGGGUGUAAAGGGAGCGUAGACGGCGAGGCAAGUCUGAUGUGAAAACCCGGGGCUCAACCCCGUGACUGCAUUGGAAACUGUUUUGCUUGAGUGCCGGAGAGGUAAGCGGAAUUCCUAGUGUAGCGGUGAAAUGCGUAGAUAUUAGGAGGAACACCAGUGGCGAAGGCGGCCUACUGGGCACCAACUGACGCUGAGGCUCGAAAGUGUGGGUAGCAAACAGGAUUAGAUACCCUGGUAGUCCACACCGUAAACGAUGAUUACUA